This 966-nucleotide long non-coding RNA is filed under the name Marmota monax (woodchuck). The record is from RNAcentral. Lineage: Eukaryota; Metazoa; Chordata; Mammalia; Rodentia; Sciuridae.
GAAAGGCAUGUGCUUCAUAAAUAUGUAUUGGAAAGUACUUAGCAAAUGAGUAGAAAUAAUAAAAAUAUGUCAAAGUAAACAGCUCCUAUAAAUAUGUCACUUGGUAGACAAAUUAGUGUUUUAUUACUACUAAAUACUAUUGCUCACCGAAAAGGAUUUCAGAUUACUUGCACAAUGGGUACAUUAUGGAGUGCCUCUGUGGAAAGGCACGAUAAAGAUGAAAAAUAGUGAUGGUGAUAAUGCCUAAGGUGGAGAAAAGAGGAGUAUGGGUAAAUGCAGCUCCGAGGCCUCAUCGCUUCAAUGAUAUGCACAUUAUUUAGCAGCAUUCCAAUGAUUUAGCCAUAAUGUGGACCAGAGGGCCCAGAGAAAGAUUUCCAUGGGAUGUCAUGAAUCCAGACUCCAAAUUACUGGGUCCAAUUAGUGGAUUAAAUGCACUCCCUUUCAGAACUCAGCACUCAGUUUAUAAACCAAGUUUACAAAAAGGAUAUCCCUGACUCUCAUUUUACUCUUAUUUUGGACCUAUUAUAUUUUCUCUGGGUAUGAUUCAUAUGCAGAGAAGAGAUGUCGUGGAGAACACUACACCUCUGUCACUGCUCAGGAAUCCAUUUCAGAAACAAGAGAGGAUGGACAAUGUCAGCAUCUCAAGGGAAAAGGAACCAGAGAGGGAAAAGAGGGACUUUAUUCUUUUUGUGGGCAAGAAUAAGCCUCUGGCAAGAAACAGAGAAGACAGGGAAUUGCAUCAAGGAAAGUUACAUAAAUAGCCAGGUAGGAAAAAAUAUGGGCACAUUUAAUUCAGAUAUAGAAAACUUCUAGAUCUUUCUGUGCAUUCCAGGUGAAGGAAAAGAAGUGGUUUCACAUUCCAGCUUAUCUGUAUGGUUUUGGGUAAAUUACUUAAUAUGAUAACAUGAAAUAAUAGCACUCAAGUUUACGGUUUUGUUUUUUUUUUUUACUGGGAUUUGAAAGCAG